AGAGUUUGAUCCUGGCUCAGAUUGAACGCUGGCGGCAUGCUUUACACAUGCAAGUCGAACGGCAGCGCGGGGCAACCUGGCGGCGAGUGGCGAACGGGUGAGUAAUAUAUCGGAACGUACCCAGAAGUGGGGGAUAACGUAGCGAAAGUUACGCUAAUACCGCAUACGAUCUACGGAUGAAAGUGGGGGACCUUCGGGCCUCAUGCUNGUGGAGCGGCCGAUAUCUGAUUAGCUAGUUGGUGAGGUAAAGGCUCACCAAGGCGACGAUCAGUAGCUGGUCUGAGAGGACGACCAGCCACACUGGGACUGAGACACGGCCCAGACUCCUACGGGAGGCAGCAGUGGGGAAUUUUGGACAAUGGGCGCAAGCCUGAUCCAGCAAUGCCGCGUGAGUGAAGAAGGCCUUCGGGUUGUAAAGCUCUUUUGUCAGGGAAGAAACGGCCGAGGAUAAUACCUUUGG
This 460-nucleotide ribosomal RNA is filed under the name uncultured beta proteobacterium. RNAcentral describes it as "bacterial SSU rRNA". It matches the Rfam family "Bacterial small subunit ribosomal RNA", at positions 8 to 472 of the family's 1533-position model. Lineage: Bacteria; Pseudomonadati; Pseudomonadota; Betaproteobacteria. The record is from RNAcentral.